AGAAGAGUCUGUGAGAGCAGGUGAGCACGGACCACCUCUUCACUGACUGUCGCAAAGCAAGAGCCUGAAGCAGGUGACACGUUCAAAACAAUGGAAGACCUUCACGUAUUUUGGACUCUCUGCUGCAGGACAUCCUGAACACGUCACGUUUAAGUGGGUUCUUAAAGCCACUGGCCUUACUUAUAGAUGAAAAAUACAUCAAGAAAUGCAGCAUCAUCUCCAGACUCAAGACCCUGAGCCCAAACCACCGAAAGCUGGUGAGCGGGUGUUUUGACGCGGGUCUGAGGCGCUUCCCGAGGCACCUGCUGGUGGCCAGCGCUGCCUGGAGCGGGGCAGCCGGGCUGCUCCCGCCUCGGAGCCGCCGCUUCCCAGCCUGGGCACGGGGAGCCGCUCCUGGCGUCCACACAGAGGGAAGCCUGCUUCCCCGCUUUCAUUUUGACAGCAGAGCGCAUUUUUGGUGGUUGAGCAAUACACCUGGCAAGGCCGGGCCCCCAGGUGACCAGGCACACUCCCAAGCAGCACGGGUCCCUGCAAAGCUGGCUGACCUGGAGGUCACCUGUCCCCUGCACUAGCCAUGAUGGAGGCACCUGAAUCCCAGGGUUCUCUGGGAAUAUGGAUCUCUUGCAUCGAAGGAAAGCUGUCAACUUCAUGAUCGUUUGCAGAUAUGGACAUUUCUAUUCUUUCUCCAGGUUAAAUGCUUCUGAUCACUCCUUUUCUAAAAUAAGAUUAGUGCUCCAGUUGUCUUAGUGACAAUAAAGAAUUUCUGACAUGUUCUCUCUACUGGUGGUAUAUUUGCAUGUAUUAAUAUCUUCCCCAAAAUGCAUUGCAUUUUUGUAAGUUGUACAGAAGAAAAUCUCUCUGACAGAAACAGGGAGAGAAUAUGUAGGACAGAGCCUAGAGCCUUAGGACUUGUUUUCCCCUUGUUUAUUUAUGUAAAGUUAUAUUUUAAAAGCAAUGCAGUUAUGCAAAGGCUGCAACACACCUGGGGGAAUGAGGCCCUAAGUUCUAACAAGUAACCUUGGAUUUAAACUAACAAUUACCUGUCAGUGAUUAAUUGAUAUUUAGGUCUCGUCUGUGAGCAGCUCCUUGCUUUGUUUACCUGUAUUUGUUUUUGACCAAAUAAUGCUUGAUCUGCUGAUUAUUCAUGGCAUUUGGCAUUUGUUGAGAAUUAUGCUUGAUGCAUGUUUUUUUUCUUCUAUUUUAUUCACAUGUGAAAGCCUUAAAAUUCAAUCUGUGCUAUUCCAUCUCUCUCUGAAAGGUGAAACCAGACAUACUUGUUAAGAAUUUAAAAAGGAAUAAAGAAGAAAUGAAUAUA
This is a long non-coding RNA of Pseudopipra pipra, 1315 nucleotides long. RefSeq lists it as uncharacterized. The record is from RefSeq and is a predicted model, not a curated record. The transcript is spliced from 2 exons. Lineage: Eukaryota; Metazoa; Chordata; Aves; Passeriformes; Pipridae.